CCUACGGGAGGCAGCAGUGGGGAAUUUUGGACAAUGGGCGCAAGCCUGAUCCAGCUAUUCCGCGUGUGGGAAGACGGCCCUCGGGUUGUUAACCACCUUUGUAGAGGACGUAAAGUCUGUUGAUAAUACCGAUAGACGAUUACGGUAAUCUAAGAAUAAGCACCGGCUAACUACGUGCCAGCAGCCGCGGUAAUACGUAGGGUGCGGGCGUUAAUCGGUAUUACUGGGCGUAAAGGGUGUGCAGGUGGUUUUGCAAGAUGGAAGUUAAAGGCCCGGGCUUAACCUGGGAACGGCAUAUAUGACUGCAAGACUAGAGUGCGUCAGAGGUGGGUGGAAUUCGCAGUGUAGCAGUGAAAUGCGUAGAUAUUUGGAAGAACACCGAUGGCGAAGGCAGCCCCCUGGGACGCAACUGACGCUGAUACACGAAAGCGUGGGGAGCAAACAGGAUUAGAUACCCCAGUAGUC
This 465-nucleotide ribosomal RNA is filed under the name uncultured bacterium. Its description in RNAcentral is "partial 16S ribosomal RNA". It matches the Rfam family "Bacterial small subunit ribosomal RNA", at positions 338 to 795 of the family's 1533-position model. The record is from RNAcentral.